This 28-nucleotide non-coding RNA is filed under the name Rattus norvegicus (Norway rat). Lineage: Eukaryota; Metazoa; Chordata; Mammalia; Rodentia; Muridae. The record is from RNAcentral.
UCUUGAAUAGAGUGAAACAUGCACGGCA